Molecule: ribosomal RNA, 649 nt
Filed under: uncultured Fretibacterium sp.
Lineage: Bacteria; Thermotogati; Synergistota; Synergistia; Synergistales; Aminobacteriaceae
Description: bacterial SSU rRNA
Rfam family: Bacterial small subunit ribosomal RNA
Source: RNAcentral
AUACCCCAUAGUCCGAGAGGUUAAAGGCAGCGAUGCGCGACGGGAGGUACUCGUGUCCUAUCAGCUAGUUGGUGAGGUAACGGCUCACCAAGGCGACGACGGGUGGCCGGCCUGAGAGGGUGACCGGCCACACUGGAACUGAGAUACGGUCCAGACUCCUACGGGAGGCAGCAGUGGGGAAUAUUGGGCAAUGGGAGGAAUCCUGACCCAGCGACGCCGCGUGAACGAAGACGGCCUUCGGGUUGUAAAGUUCUUUUAUGUGGGAAGAAUAAAGUGACGGUACCACAUGAAUAAGCCCCGGCUAACUACGUGCCAGCAGCCGCGGUAAUACGUAGGGGGCGAGCGUUGUCCGGAAUUACUGGGCGUAAAGGGCACGCAGGCUGUGCUUCAAGUCAGCUGUAAAAGGAUGCGGCUUAACCGUGUUAUGCAGUUGAGACUGAGGUGCUGGAGUACCGGAGAGGCAAGUGGGAUUCCCAGUGUAGCGGUGAAAUGCGUAGAUAUUGGGAAGAACAUCGGUAGCGAAGGCGACUUGCUGGACGGUAACUGACGCUGAGGUGCGAAAGCCAGGGUAGCGAACGGGAUUAGAUACCCCGGUAGUCCUGGCUGUAAACGAUGAAUGCUAGGUGUGCGAGCAGAGAUGUUGGCGUGC